UACGUAGGGUGCAAGCGUUAUCCGGAAUUAUUGGGCGUAAAGAGCUCGUAGGCGGUUUGUCGCGUCUGCUGUGAAAACUGGAGGCUCAACCUCCAGCCUGCAGUGGGUACGGGCAGACUAGAGUGCGGUAGGGGAGAUUGGAACUCCUGGUGUAGCGGUGGAAUGCGCAGAUAUCAGGAAGAACACCGAUGGCGAAGGCAGAUCUCUGGGCCGUAACUGACGCUGAGGAGCGAAAGCAUGGGGGAGCGAACAGG
This 254-nucleotide ribosomal RNA is filed under the name uncultured bacterium. RNAcentral describes it as "partial 16S ribosomal RNA". It matches the Rfam family "Bacterial small subunit ribosomal RNA", at positions 524 to 776 of the family's 1533-position model. The record is from RNAcentral.